AGGUCCUCAAUAAGUAUUUGUUGAAAGAAUAAAUGAACCAACAAGUCUUAUUUGAGCACCUGUUAUG
Molecule: non-coding RNA, 67 nt
Organism: Canis lupus familiaris (dog)
Lineage: Eukaryota; Metazoa; Chordata; Mammalia; Carnivora; Canidae
Source: Rfam